CUACGGGAGGCAGCAGCGGGGAAUAUUGCACAAUGGAGGAAACUCUGAUGCAGCAACGCCGCGUGGAGGAUGACACUUUUCGGAGCGUAAACUCCUUUUAUAUAGGAAGAAGAUGACGGUACUAUAUGAAUAAGCGCCGGCUAACUCCGUGCCAGCAGCCGCGGUAAUACGGAGGGCGCAAGCGUUACUCGGAAUCACUGGGCGUAAAGAGCGUGUAGGCGGAUUAAAAAGUAAGAAGUGAAAUCCUAUAGCUUAACUAUAGAACUGCUUCUGAAACUCUUAAUCUAGAAUAUGGGAGAGGUAGAUGGAAGUGCUGGUGUAGGGGUAAAAUCCGUAGAGAUCAGAAGGAAUACCGAUUGCGAAGGCGAUCUACUAGAACAUUAUUGACGCUGAGACGCGAAAGCGUGGGGAGCAAACAGGAUUAGAUACCCCCGUAGUC
RNAcentral lists this ribosomal RNA (439 nucleotides) under uncultured bacterium. Its description in RNAcentral is "partial 16S ribosomal RNA". It matches the Rfam family "Bacterial small subunit ribosomal RNA", at positions 339 to 795 of the family's 1533-position model. The record is from RNAcentral.